CAUAGGUUAAUGAGGCGAACCGGGGGAACUGAAACAUCUAAGUACCCCGAGGAAAAGAAAUCAACCGAGAUUCCCCCAGUAGCGGCGAGCGAACGGGGAGGAGCCCAGAGCCUGAAUCAGUGUGUGUGUUAGUGGAAGCGUCUGGAAAGGCGCGCGAUACAGGGUGACAGCCCCGUACACAAAAAUGCACAUACUGUGAGCUCGAUGAGUAGGGCGGGACACGUGGUAUCCUGUCUGAAUAUGGGGGGACCAUCCUCCAAGGCUAAAUACUCCUGACUGACCGAUAGUGAACCAGUACCGUGAGGGAAAGGCGAAAAGAACCCCGGCGAGGGGAGUGAAAAAGAACCUGAAACCGUGUACGUACAAGCAGUGGGAGCCUCUUAAUGGGGUGACUGCGUACCUUUUGUAUAAUGGGUCAGCGACUUAUAUUCUGUAGCAAGGUUAACCGAAUAGGGGAGCCGAAGGGAAACCGAGUCUUAACUGGGCGUUAAGUUGCAGGGUAUAGACCCGAAACCCGGUGAUCUAGCCAUGGGCAGGUUGAAGGUUGGGUAACACUAACUGGAGGACCGAACCGACUAAUGUUGAAAAAUUAGCGGAUGACUUGUGGCUGGGGGUGAAAGGCCAAUCAAACCGGGAGAUAGCUGGUUCUCCCCGAAAGCUAUUUAGGUAGCGCCUCGUGAAUUCAUCUCCGGGGGUAGAGCACUGUUUCGGCAAGGGGGUCAUCCCGACUUACCAACCCGAUGCAAACUGCGAAUACCGGAGAAUGUUAUCACGGGAGACACACGGCGGGUGCUAACGUCCGUCGUGAAGAGGGAAACAACCCAGACCGCCAGCUAAGGUCCCAAAGUCAUGGUUAAGUGGGAAACGAUGUGGGAAGGCCCAGACAGCCAGGAUGUUGGCUUAGAAGCAGCCAUCAUUUAAAGAAAGCGUAAUAGCUCACUGGUCGAGUCGGCCUGCGCGGAAGAUGUAACGGGGCUAAACCAUGCACCGAAGCUGCGGCAGCGACGCUUAUGCGUUGUUGGGUAGGGGAGCGUUCUGUAAGCCUGUGAAGGUGGCCUGUGAGGGUUGCUGGAGGUAUCAGAAGUGCGAAUGCUGACAUAAGUAACGAUAAAGCGGGUGAAAAGCCCGCUCGCCGGAAGACCAAGGGUUCCUGUCCAACGUUAAUCGGGGCAGGGUGAGUCGACCCCUAAGGCGAGGCCGAAAGGCGUAGUCGAUGGGAAACAGGUUAAUAUUCCUGUACUUGGUGUUACUGCGAAGGGGGGACGGAGAAGGCUAUGUUGGCCGGGCGACGGUUGUCCCGGUUUAAGCGUGUAGGCUGGUUUUCCAGGCAAAUCCGGAAAAUCAAGGCUGAGGCGUGAUGACGAGGCACUACGGUGCUGAAGCGACAAAUGCCCUGCUUCCAGGAAAAG
This 1409-nucleotide ribosomal RNA is filed under the name Escherichia coli. Its description in RNAcentral is "partial 23S ribosomal RNA". It matches the Rfam family "Bacterial large subunit ribosomal RNA", at positions 165 to 1617 of the family's 2925-position model. The record is from RNAcentral. Lineage: Bacteria; Pseudomonadati; Pseudomonadota; Gammaproteobacteria; Enterobacterales; Enterobacteriaceae.